GACGAACGCUGGCGGCGUGCUUAACACAUGCAAGUCGAACGGUGAAGCGCCUUCCUUUUUGGUGGGUGUGGAUGAGUGGCGAACGGGUGAGUAACACGUGAGUAACCUGCCCCCUUCUUCUGGAUAACCGCAUGAAAGUGUGGCUAAUACGGGAUAUUCUGGGUCUGUCGCAUGAUGGGUCUGGGAAAGAUAUUGUUUCGGUGGGGGAUGGGCUCGCGGCCUAUCAGCUUGUUGGUGGGGUGAUGGCAUACCAAGGCGGUGACGGGUAGCCGGCCUGAGAGGGUGGACGGUCACACAGGGACUGAGACACGGCCCAGACUCCUACGGGAGGCAGCAGUGGGGAAUAUUGCACAAUGGGCGAAAGCCUGAUGCAGCGACGCCGCGUGAGGGAUGGAGGCCUUCGGGUUGUGAACCUCUUUCGCCAGUGAAGCAGGCCUGCCUCGUUUGUGGGUGGGUUGACGGUAGCUGGAUAAGAAGCGCCGGCUAACUACGUG
RNAcentral lists this ribosomal RNA (494 nucleotides) under uncultured bacterium. Its description in RNAcentral is "partial 16S ribosomal RNA". It matches the Rfam family "Bacterial small subunit ribosomal RNA", at positions 28 to 507 of the family's 1533-position model. The record is from RNAcentral.